Molecule: long non-coding RNA, 684 nt
Filed under: Gallus gallus (chicken)
Lineage: Eukaryota; Metazoa; Chordata; Aves; Galliformes; Phasianidae
Description: lncRNA (ENSGALG00010028343.1)
Source: RNAcentral
AGCCACUUACUCAUUCUUCCCAAUGCUUGUCGCUGCUAUCCUAAAUAUAGGGUAGUGUGCCAACGGGAGAGGCUCGGGAGCGAGCCGGGGUGCAGGGAACGCCACCGCCGUGUCGGCAGAGCCGUGCUGCUCCCAGCCCGUGCUGCCUGCUUGCUGCAGGCUUUGUGCUGCUUGGGGAGCUGCCACGUGGCUCACACCAGGCUGAGUGCUGCGGGGCCGCGCUCUGCUCCUCUGGCUGCUGCGGGGCCUGAGGGUGGGCAGUGGGGGACACCGAGAUCCCCACCGGCUUCGGCUGUGAGAGGCACGGCCAGAACUGGCUCAGACCUGACCAUAGCUUAUCUGCCACGGCCGGCUGCUCUGGAGGAAUUCCUGCACGUCUUCUGGCGGCAGAACUUCGCUCCGGCAGCGGGGGGACGUCGGAGGGAAUGCUGCGUCCUGGUUCGUGCCAUAGAGAGAGGCGCUGCGGUGCUUUGCACCUGAGCCCGGGGUCCCCUCAGCUCUGCUGGAGGAGCAGCAGGAGCGGUGUGAGCUGCCUCUCCGCGUCCCGUCAGCUGAGGAAUAGCGUGGAGGAAUGAAUUCCAGUGAGUUGGAUGAGGAAAAUGUAAACUCUGCGUUCUCGUCGGGCAAACAGCAGUCGUGUAAAUAAACGUCUCUGGGAUUCCUUGUGGUGCUCAUCGACUGCCC